AGACGUCUACAUUAGAUACCCGGGUAGUCCCAGCCGUAAACUAUGCGCGUUAGGUGUAUCGGUGACCACGAGUUACCGAGGUGCCGAAGGGAAACCGUGAAACGUGCCGCCUGGGAAGUACGGUCGCAAGGCUGAAACUUAAAGGAAUUGGCGGGGGAGCACCACAACAGGUGGAGCCUGCGGUUUAAUUGGACUCAACGCCGGGAAGCUCACCGGAUAGGACAGCAGAAUGAUUGCCGGGCUGAAGACUCUGCAUGACUAGCUG
RNAcentral lists this ribosomal RNA (265 nucleotides) under uncultured archaeon. Its description in RNAcentral is "partial 16S ribosomal RNA". It matches the Rfam family "Archaeal small subunit ribosomal RNA", at positions 717 to 982 of the family's 1478-position model. The record is from RNAcentral.